RNAcentral lists this ribosomal RNA (465 nucleotides) under uncultured bacterium. Its description in RNAcentral is "bacterial SSU rRNA". It matches the Rfam family "Bacterial small subunit ribosomal RNA", at positions 339 to 796 of the family's 1533-position model. The record is from RNAcentral.
CUACGGGAGGCAGCAGUGGGGAAUUUUGGACAAUGGGGGCAACCCUGAUCCAGCCAUGCCGCGUGCGGGAAGAAGGCCUUCGGGUUGUAAACCGCUUUUAGCCGGGAAGAAAAGGCGGCUCCUAAUACGGGCUGUUCUUGACGGUACCGGCGGAAUAAGCACCGGCUAACUACGUGCCAGCAGCCGCGGUAAUACGUAGGGUGCGAGCGUUAAUCGGAAUUACUGGGCGUAAAGCGUGCGCAGGCGGUUCGUUAAGUCUGAUGUGAAAGCCCCGGGCUCAACCUGGGAAUGGCAUUGGAUACUGGCGGGCUGGAGUGUGGCAGAGGGGGGUGCAAUUCCGCGUGUAGCAGUGAAAUGCGUAGAGAUGCGGAGGAACACCGAUGGCGAAGGCAGCCCCCUGGGCUGACACUGACGCUCAGGCACGAAAGCGUGGGGAGCAAACAGGAUUAGAUACCCGAGUAGUCC